Molecule: transfer RNA, 97 nt
Filed under: Thermoprotei archaeon ex4572_64
Lineage: Archaea; Thermoproteati; Thermoproteota; Thermoprotei
Description: tRNA-Lys
Rfam family: tRNA
About the family: Transfer RNA (tRNA) molecules are approximately 80 nucleotides in length.
Source: RNAcentral
GGGCCGGUAGCUCAGCUCGGUAGAGCGAGGAGUAAAGGAACUCCCUCUAAGCGGGCUCUUAACCCGUAGGUCCCGGGUUCAAAUCCCGGCCGGCCCG